RNAcentral lists this long non-coding RNA (371 nucleotides) under Homo sapiens (human). Its description in RNAcentral is "non-protein coding lnc-IGSF10-3:1". The record is from RNAcentral. Lineage: Eukaryota; Metazoa; Chordata; Mammalia; Primates; Hominidae.
CAUCAUAGCAGUAGCAGCAGUAAAAUAGGUGAUAUCACAGAGAAUUAUUUUGAAACAUUUCCAAUCCAAAUGUUUGGACUGGAACUGUCCAAAUCCAAAGAUACACUAUGACAGACAUAGUGUAUCUGUCAUAAAUGUAAGUAGUCUUCUCCACCAGAUGACUAUAAUUGCAAAGUCGAGUUUGAUGUGAUGUCUGAUGGCACCCUUCUAUGGACAUUCCAUAUGAACAUACAAAACAUAUCUCUUGACUAGAUCCUGUGCAUAAUAAUGAAGAAACACAUGAUCUAGGGCUGAAAACCAGAUUAGAAGAAAAAGCUGAACACCUUGAGCAAGGACUCAUGACAAUUUAGCAAAAUGUUCUUUACUACUAA